UAAAAUUCCUGGAAGGCGGUUUCCAGUUGAGAUACACUAUACGAAAGCUCCAGAGGCUGAUUACUUGGACGCUGCAGUAGUCACCGCUCUUCAGAUCCAUGUAACUCAACCCCCAGGUGAUGGUGACAUAUUAAUCUUUUUGACUGGGCAGGAGGAGAUUGAAACAGCAGAGGAGAUCAUUAAGCACCGGAUAAAAGGCCUGGGGACAAAAAUUGCUGAGCUGAUAAUUUGCCCAAUAUAUGCAAAUUUGCCAACAGAAUUACAAGCCAAGAUAUUUGAGCCCACUCCUGAAGGUGCUCGUAAGGUUGUCCUGGCUACAAAUAUUGCUGAAACAUCAUUGACAAUUGAUGGGAUUAAGUAUGUUAUUG
This 368-nucleotide unclassified non-coding RNA is filed under the name Hevea brasiliensis (rubber tree). Lineage: Eukaryota; Viridiplantae; Streptophyta; Magnoliopsida; Malpighiales; Euphorbiaceae. The record is from RNAcentral.